Molecule: ribosomal RNA, 445 nt
Filed under: uncultured bacterium
Lineage: Bacteria
Description: bacterial SSU rRNA
Rfam family: Bacterial small subunit ribosomal RNA
Source: RNAcentral
GUGAGGAAUAUUGGUCAAUGGGCGAAAGCCUGAACCAGCCAUGUCGCGUGAAGGAUGAAGGUCCUAUGGAUUGUAAACUUCUUUUGCAGGAGGGUAAAGUGAGCUACGUGUAGUUCAUUGCAAGUACCCUGCGAAUAAGCAUCGGCUAACUCCGUGCCAGCAGCCGCGGUAAUACGGAGGAUGCGAGCGUUAUCCGGAUUUAUUGGGUUUAAAGGGUGCGUAGGCGGACUAAUUAGUCAGCGGUGAAAUUUUGCGGCUCAACCGUAAAACUGCCGUUGAAACUGUUAGUCUUGAGUGCGGUAGAGGUAGGCGGAAUGUGUGGUGUAGCGGUGAAAUGCUUAGAUAUCACACAGAACACCGAUUGCGUAGGCAGCUUACUGGAGCGCAACUGACGCUGAGGCACGAAAGCGUGGGGAUCGAACAGGAUUAGAAACCCCAGUAGUCC